CUCGAGGGCCAGCUGUGGGAAUCACGGGCUCUUCCGGCGUCUGGAAGGGACAGGCUGGUUAUGCAAUAAGCCCUGGAUGCCGGCCUCGGUGACGGCCAGGUCAGUCUCCCUCUCUGGAAGACGAGGUGGUCCCCGGGGAGAAGACACGAGUUACCUGUUGAGGCCGAGGUACCCAAGGACACCCAGGAGGAGGACGCUCACGAAGCUCCCCAGAGACACGAAGGGGAUGGGCAGGUGUGAAAACCAAGAACCAGAGAGGGACAGCGUUGUUCCCAGGGUCACACAGCAAGAAGGAGCCCGCGUACCUGACCCCUGGCUGCCCUCCUCUUGGCAGCGCACGACGUACCCCUCCAGGACACCGGGGCAGGUGCUCAGCAGCGAGGGCGACCAGUCUAUGGACACGGAGUCCCUGCUGCGGUUCCUCACCGACACGCGCUGCGGGAUCCCGGCCACCAAGGCUGUGACCAGCGCAUCAUCACCGUCAGUGCCGGGGCCGAGCACCGGAAGCCCAGCCUGGCACAUGGGGGACACUGGCCUCUGAGGCUCCCGCACCUCGGCCCUCGGUGUGCUUGGCCUUGGUCACCUGUGAGCGGCUGGCACCCGCCGGGCUUCUGCCUGACGAGCGGUGGGACAGGUUCACCUGCCCCCUGAAGCCCGAAGCCGCUGCAGAGCCCCGGGAGAUGAGCCUGCAGGUGGGUCACUCACCGCUGCCCCCGAAGUAGUGGGUGGACAGGACCGUGGACCAGGACGUGGGGUUCUUCGGGUGCGCAGAGGCGAAGAUGCCCAGGUGGUAGCAACCCUCCGGCAGCAGCGCCCCGGAUCCUCGGCCCCAGGUGUGAGCCACUGGGAGGAGGGAGGGCCCCCGGGGCCACCGCGUCACUACCUCUGCCCACUCGUGCUUCAGAGCCCCCUGUGCCAACGUCCCCUCCUCCCAGAUCCCUCCCCAACUUGCCCCAUCCACUCCCACCUGGCCCCUCCCGCACUGUGGGGUGGUUUUGUCCCACUGUCAGGCUGGGGACACCUCCACAACCAGUCGGCUGCACGCCUGGCAUCCCAGCUACUGGGAGGCUGAGGCAGGAGGAUCGAACGUGGGAGGCCAGCCUCAGCAACUUAGCGAGGCUCUAAGCAACUCAGUGAGACGCUGUCUCCAAAUUCAAACUAGAAAGGGCUGGGGCUGUGGCUCAGGGGUUAAGUGCUCCUGGGGUUAAUCCCUGGCACCAAAAGAGGGGGAGCCGGGGGUGUGGGUCAUGGUCCAGCGAGUGCCUGGCAGACUCAAGACCCUGGGUUCCUCCCCAGGAUCUCAAAAAAGAAGGCCAGGUGGAGGCUGUGGCUUCCUCGUGCUCCAGCAAGACCCAGGCAGGAAGCGGGCGAGCAAGAGGCGCCCGGGCCACAGAGCGCCCUCCCCUCCCCGAGGCCUCAUUAGUCUGUCACCAGCACCUGCUAACUGCCACCUUCCCUGGUGACGGCAAAUAUUGAACAGGCACCCAGGAUGUGAGAGAGGCUCCCUGCCGGGUGCAGCCUGCCCGGGCGCCGGGGCCAGCAGAGGAGGAGGGCUGAGGCCAUGUUCCGGCCCAAGCUGUGUGACCUGAGUCCACAGCGGUGCCUCUCUGGGCCCUGGACGCCCCUGUGUCCAGUCUCAGGAGGCGUCCCAGAGGCCUGGCAGGGACGCAGCCAUUCAUGUACCUCGUCCAGCGGGGGCCGGGUCCCGGGGGGUGUGCAGGCUGCAGAGGGCAGGGCCGCCCCCUCCAUCCAGCCGCUGCCACUCAAUGCAGUAGGUGGUGCCCGGGUCCCCCGCGGGCCAGCUCAGGGUGGUCCCCUCGGCGUCGACGCUGAUGUUCAGGAGCCCUGGGUCUGGAAGGGGAUGGCAGGGUCACCCAGGGCAGCCGCCUUUGCCGGGCCUGUGCAGUCCCCAGGCCACCUUCCUGCCCAGGGAUGUCUGCGCCUAGCCCUGUCCCCUCAGUGGGCAGCUGGGGGCUGGACGUGGGCAGAGGGGAGUGUUUGAAGGGCUUCCCUGCCCCGGACGGGGCCCCCCUGCCGCCCUGUCUCCCUCCCCGGCUUUGAGGGCGUCCCCUGCAGCAGACGCCCAGCCUGGCUAGACCCGCUGGGGACAAAGGCCAAGUUCAGAGGCAGCAGGACGCACCCCCGACCCCUGGCUCCAUCUCUCCCACUUCCUAAAACAAGGGCCUCUGCUUCUAAUUUGGCGGAAGACAAGCAGCGUUUAUCGAACACCAACUGUGUGCGCCAGCUCCCUGGGAGAUGGGACGAUGAUGGCCCUAUUUGACGGAUGCCAAAACUGAGGCCCAGACGGUGUGGAUCAACCCGAGUCUACCAGCAGGGCUGCGACCCAGAUCAGGGUCUCGCUAAGUUGCUGAGGCUGGCCUCGAACUUGUGAUCCUCCUGCCUCAGCCUCCCGAGACACUGGGAUGACCAGCGGCACCGCCAGGCCCAGCUUGAUCAUGGGUUUUGGCGCCUGUUACGCUCCCUGGCCUCCCGGCCUCCCGGCCUCCCUGGCCUCCCGGCCUCCCUGGCCUCCUGGCCUCCUGGCCUCCUGCUGGUGGAGUGGGGCUCAGAAGAGCUGCUCAGCUCCAGGUCCUCUGGCGGCCGCCCCACCCCGCCCCACGGAGAGGCACCUGUGCU
This is a long non-coding RNA of Marmota monax (woodchuck), 2637 nucleotides long. RefSeq lists it as uncharacterized. The record is from RefSeq and is a predicted model, not a curated record. Lineage: Eukaryota; Metazoa; Chordata; Mammalia; Rodentia; Sciuridae. The transcript has 4 exons.